UGGGGAAUAUUGCGCAAUGGGGGAAACCCUGACGCAGCGACGCCGCGUGCGGGAUGAAGGCCUUCGGGUUGUAAACCGCUUUUGAUUGGGAGCAAGCUUUCGGGUGAGUGUACCUUUCGAAUAAGCGCCGGCUAACUACGUGCCAGCAGCCGCGGUAAUACGUAGGGCGCAAGCGUUAUCCGGAAUUAUUGGGCGUAAAGAGCUUGUAGGCGGUUCGUCGCGUCUGGUGUGAAAGCCCAUCGCUUAACGGUGGGUCUGCGCCGGGUACGGGCGGGCUAGAGUGCAGUAGGGGAGACUGGAAUUCCCGGUGUAACGGUGGAAUGUGUAGAUAUCGGGAAGAACACCAAUGGCGAAGGCAGGUCUCUGGGCUGUUACUGACGCUGAGAAGCGAAAGCGUGGGGAGCGAACA
RNAcentral lists this ribosomal RNA (409 nucleotides) under uncultured bacterium. RNAcentral's name for it is "bacterial SSU rRNA". It matches the Rfam family "Bacterial small subunit ribosomal RNA", at positions 355 to 774 of the family's 1533-position model. The record is from RNAcentral. RNAcentral also lists the same sequence under 1 other name.